AUACGUAGGUGGCAAGCGUUGUCCGGAAUUAUUGGGCGUAAAGCGCAUGUAGGCGGUUUGGUAAGUCGGUCGUGAAAAUGCGGUGCUUAACGCCGUAUGGCGUUUGAAACUGCUGAACUUGAGUGCAGGAGGGGAAAGGGGAACUCCCAGUGUAGGGGUUGAAUGCGUAGAUAUUGGGAAGAACACCGGUGGCGAAGGCGCCUUUCUGGACUGUGUCUGACGCUCAGAUGCGAAAGCCAGGGUAGCGAACGGGAUUAGAUACCCCGGUAGUCCUGGCCGUAAACGAUGGGUACUAGGUGUGGGAGGUAUCGACUCCUUCCGUGCCGGAGUUAACGCAAUAAGUACCCCGCCUGGGGAGUACGGCCGCAAGGCUUAAACUCAAAGGAAUUGACGGGG
RNAcentral lists this ribosomal RNA (396 nucleotides) under uncultured bacterium. Its description in RNAcentral is "partial 16S ribosomal RNA". It matches the Rfam family "Bacterial small subunit ribosomal RNA", at positions 523 to 918 of the family's 1533-position model. The record is from RNAcentral.